RNAcentral lists this ribosomal RNA (460 nucleotides) under uncultured bacterium. RNAcentral describes it as "partial 16S ribosomal RNA". It matches the Rfam family "Bacterial small subunit ribosomal RNA", at positions 338 to 795 of the family's 1533-position model. The record is from RNAcentral.
CCUACGGGAGACAGCAGUGAGGAAUAUUGGUCAAUGGACGAGAGUCUGAACCAGCCAAGUAGCGUGAAGGAUGACUGCCCUAUGGGUUGUAAACUUCUUUUAUAUGGGAAUAAAACGUUCCACGUGUGGGAUUUUGUAUGUACCAUAUGAAUAAGGAUCGGCUAACUCCGUGCCAGCAGCCGCGGUAAUACGGAGGAUCCGAGCGUCAUCCGGAUUUAUUGGGUUUAAAGGGAGCGUAGGUGGAUUGUUAAGUCAGUUGUGAAAGUUUGCGGCUCAACCGUAAAAUUGCAGUUGAAACUGGCAGUCUUGAGUACAGUAGAGGUGGGCGGAAUUCGUGGUGUAGCGGUGAAAUGCUUAGAUAUCACGAAGAACUCCGAUUGCGAAGGCAGUUCACUGGACUGCAACUGACACUGAGGCUCGAAAGUGUGGGUAUCAAACAGGAUUAGAUACCCUUGUAGUC